This 434-nucleotide ribosomal RNA is filed under the name uncultured bacterium. RNAcentral's name for it is "partial 16S ribosomal RNA". It matches the Rfam family "Bacterial small subunit ribosomal RNA", at positions 29 to 507 of the family's 1533-position model. The record is from RNAcentral.
AGCGAACGCUGGCGGCAGGCCUAACACAUGCAAGUCGAACGAACCUUUCGGGGUUAGUGGCGGACGGGUGAGUAACACGUGGGAACGUGCCUUUAGGUUCGGAAUAACUCAGGGAAACUUGUGCUAAUACCGAAUGUGCCCUUCGGGGGAAAGAUUAAUCGCCUUUAGAGCGGCCCGCGUCUGAUUAGCUAGUUGGUUGAGGUAAUGGCUCACCAAGGCGACGAUCAGUAGCUGGUCUGAGAGGAUGAUCAGCCACAUUGGGACUGAGACACGGCCCAAACUCCUACGGGAGGCAGCAGUGGGGAAUCUUGCGCAAUGGGCGAAAGCCUGACGCAGCCAUGCCGCGUGAAUGAUGAAGGUCUUAGGAUUGUAAAAUUCUUUCACCGGGGACGAUAAUGAAGGUACCCGGAGAAGAAGCCCCGGCUAACUUCGUG